This 551-nucleotide ribosomal RNA is filed under the name Tosana niwae. RNAcentral's name for it is "partial 16S ribosomal RNA". It matches the Rfam family "Bacterial large subunit ribosomal RNA", at positions 1846 to 2586 of the family's 2925-position model. The record is from RNAcentral. Lineage: Eukaryota; Metazoa; Chordata; Actinopteri; Perciformes; Anthiadidae.
UAAGAGGUCCCGCCUGCCCUGUGACGCUAAGUUUAACGGCCGCGGUAUUUUGACCGUGCGAAGGUAGCGCAAUCACUUGUCUCUUAAAUGGAGACCUGUAUGAAUGGCAUGACGAGGGCUUUACUGUCUCCUUUUUCAGGUCAAUGAACUUGAUCUUCUCGUGCAGAAGCGGGAAUAGUAACAUAAGACGAGAAGACCCUAUGGAGCUUUAGACACAAGACAGACCACGUUAAGCCUCCUUGCACGGGAGAGAAACUAAAUGCAGCAUCUGUUGUAUGUCUUUGGUUGGGGCGACCGCGGAAAAAAAUUUAACCUCCGCGUGGUACGGGAGUGCGAUCCGAAUAGACUCCUAGAGCCAAGAGCUACAGCUCUAAGCAACAGAACUUUUGACCAGUAUAGAUCCGGCAAAGCCGAUCAACGGACCGAGUUACCCUAGGGAUAACAGCGCAAUCUUCUUUUAGAGUUCAUAUCGACAAGCAGGUUUACGACCUCGAUGUUGGAUCAGGACAUCCUGAUGGUGCAGCCGCUAUCAAGGGUUCGUUUGUUCAACG